UAGGGUUCCUGCUCAACGUUAAUCGGAGCAGGGUGAGUCGACCCCUAAGGCGAGGCUGAAAAGCGUAGUCGAUGGGAAAUAGGUUAAUAUUCCUAUACCUCUUACUGAUGCGAUGGAGGGACGGAGAAGGCUAGGUUUACCAGCGAUUGGUAGUGCUGGGGAAAGGUUGUAGGCAUGUAUCUUAGGCAAAUCCGGGAUACUUUAUGCUGAGAACUGAGACGAACCCAUACUUGUAUGGGGAAGUAACUGAUGCCAUGCUUCCAAGAAAAGCUUCUAAGCUUCAGUCAGUAAGGGAUCGUACCCGAAACCGACACAGGUGGUCAGGUCGAGAAGACUAAGGCGCUUGAGAGAACUCUGGUGAAGGAACUAGGCAAAAUAGUACCGUAACUUCGGGAGAAGGUACGCUGUUGAUGGUGAAGGAUUUACUCCGUAAGCUAUCGGCAGCCUCAGAAACUAGGCCGCUGCAACUGUUUAUUAAAAACACAGCACUCUGCAAACACGAAAGUGGACGUAUAGGGUGUGAUGCCUGCCCGGUGCUGGAAGGUUAAUUGAUGGGGUUAGCGAAAGCGAAGCUCUUGAUCGAAGCCCCAGUAAACGGCGGCCGUAACAAUAACGGUCCUAAGGUAGCGAAAUUCCUUGUCGGGUAAGUUCCGACCUGCACGAAUGGCAUAAUGAUGGCGGCGCUGUCUCCACCAGAGACUCAGUGAAAUCGAAAUCGCGGUGAAGAUGCCGUGUACCCGCGGCUAGACGGAAAGGCCCCGUGAACCUUUACUGCAGCUUUGCACUGAACUUUGACCUUACUUGUGUAGGAUAGGUGGGAGGCUUUGAAGCUCGGACGCUAGUUCGAGUGGAGCCAUCCUUGAAAUACCACCCUGGUAAUGUCGAGGUUCUAACCCAGAUCCGUUAUCCGGAUCGGGGACAGUGUAUGGUGGGUAGUUUGACUGGGCGGUCUCCUCCUAAAGAGUAACGGAGGAGUACGAAGGUGCGCUCAGUGUGGUCGGAAAUCACGCAAUGAGUAUAAAGGCAAAAGCGCGCUUAACUGCGAGACCGACAAGUCGAGCAGGUACGAAAGUAGGUCUUAGUGAUCCGGUGGUUCUGUAUGGAAGGGCCAUCGCUCAACGGAUAAAAGGUACUCUGGGGAUAACAGGCUGAUACCGCCCAAGAGUUCAUAUCGACGGCGGUGUUUGGCACCUCGAUGUCGGCUCAUCUCAUCCUGGGGCUGAAGCAGGUCCCAAGGGUAUGGCUGUUCGCCAUUUAAAGAGGUACGCGAGCUGGGUUUAGAACGUCGUGAGACAGUUCGGUCCCUAUCUACCGUGGGCGUUGGGGACUUGAGAGGAUCUGCUUCUAGUACGAGAGGACCGAAGUGGACGUACCUCUGGUGUUCGGGUUGUCACGCCAGUGGCACUGCCCGGUAGCUAUGUACGGACGGGAUAACCGCUGAAAGCAUCUAAGCGGGAAGCCCACCUUAAGAUAAGGUCUCCCUGGGGGUUUAACCCCCCUAAAGAGCCGUUAGAGACCAUGACGUUGAUAGGUUCGGUGUGGAAGUGCGGUGACGCAUGAAGCUAACGAAUACUAAUUGCUCGUGAGGCUUGACU
RNAcentral lists this ribosomal RNA (1595 nucleotides) under metagenome. Its description in RNAcentral is "bacterial LSU rRNA". It matches the Rfam family "Bacterial large subunit ribosomal RNA", at positions 1347 to 2925 of the family's 2925-position model. The record is from RNAcentral.